AUGUUGUUGCAAUAGUAAUAGAACUUAGUACAUGAGGAACCGUUCAUUCGGAUAAUUAGUAUUUGGGGCAUGUCUGAGCAGGCAAUGGCCUGAAGUUAUCAUCCGUUGGGUUAUGGCUGAACGCCUGUGAAUCAGAACCCGUGCUAGAACGCGAAGAUUAGCGCCUUUUGCGAUUUUUAGUUGAAUACGAAUAUAUCUUCGGACCCCAAAUCAUUCUAUAAGGGGUCGAUCUUACAGAGUUACAAGGCUUUGUAUGGUUUCUGCUAAUGUUAAUUUCAAAUAUUGUAAGAGAUAAACCCAUUACAGAUGACCUUUAUUGAACGGGGUAUUGUCAGCAGUAGAGUAGCCUUGUUGCUACGAUCUGCUGAGAUUAAGUCCUUUGUUCUAUAGAUUU
This 394-nucleotide non-coding RNA is filed under the name Linnemannia elongata AG-77. RNAcentral's name for it is "Mortierella elongata AG-77 Eukaryotic large subunit ribosomal RNA". It matches the Rfam family "Eukaryotic large subunit ribosomal RNA", at positions 3005 to 3399 of the family's 3401-position model. Lineage: Eukaryota; Fungi; Mortierellomycota; Mortierellomycetes; Mortierellales; Mortierellaceae. The record is from Rfam by way of RNAcentral.